GGGGAAUAUUGCACAAUGGGCGCAAGCCUGAUGCAGCAACGCCGCGUGAGUGAAGAAGGUCUUCGGAUCGUAAAACUCUGUCCUAUGGGAAGAAACAAAUGACGGUACCAUGGGAGGAAGCCCCGGCUAACUACGUGCCAGCAGCCGCGGUAAUACGUAGGGGGCAAGCGUUAUCCGGAAUCACUGGGCGUAAAGGGUGCGUAGGCGGCAUGUCAAGCCAGAGGUGAAAGGCAUUGGCUCAACCAAUGUAAGCCUUUGGAACUGACGUGCUUGAGUACAGGAGAGGUAAGUGGAAUUCCUAGUGUAGAGGUGAAAUUCGUAGAUAUUAGGAGGAACACCAGUGGCGAAGGCGACUUACUGGACUGUAACUGACGCUGAGGCACGAAAGCGUGGGUAGCGAAC
This 402-nucleotide ribosomal RNA is filed under the name uncultured bacterium. RNAcentral's name for it is "bacterial SSU rRNA". It matches the Rfam family "Bacterial small subunit ribosomal RNA", at positions 356 to 773 of the family's 1533-position model. The record is from RNAcentral.